CAACAGAUGUGAAACCCCAGAGGAGUGAACCUGAGAACAGAGGGUGGCGUUGGCUUAAAUUUGAUUUGCAUUGCUGCUGCCUGCUCCUGCCAUACAUUAAAUCAAAAAGAUUGUAUGUGGCCAACGCACCUUGUGUUCUCAGGUCACCCCUUUGGGAAUUCAAUUGUCAAUCAGCACGUGUCAUCAAGUUACUCAAUUGCUCUAACAUUCGCUGCUUCUGAUUCA
This 225-nucleotide microRNA precursor is filed under the name Citrus sinensis (sweet orange). RNAcentral's name for it is "miR398a stem-loop (csi-MIR398a)". Its record names the gene csi-MIR398a. The stretch from base 10 to 162 matches the Rfam family "MIR398 microRNA precursor family". Lineage: Eukaryota; Viridiplantae; Streptophyta; Magnoliopsida; Sapindales; Rutaceae. The record is from miRBase by way of RNAcentral.